AGUGAACGCUGGCGGUCGGCCUAACACAUGCAAGUCGAACGGCAGCACAGAGGAGCUUGCUCCUUGGGUGGUGAGUGGCGGACGGGUGAGGAAUACAUCGGAAUCUACUCUGUCGGGGGGGAUAACGUAGGGAAACUUACGCUAAUACCGCCUACGACCUACGGGUGAAAGCAGGGGAUCUUCGGACCUUGCGCGAUUGAAUGAGCCGAUGUCGGAUUAGCUAGUUGGCGGGGUAAAGGCCCACCAAGGCGACGAGCCGUAGCUGGUCUGAGAGGAUGAUCAGCCACACUGGAACUGGGACACAGUCCAGACUCCUACGGGAGGCAGCAGUGGGAAAUAUUGGACAAUGGGCGCAAGCCUGAUCCAGCCAUACCGCGUGGGUGAAGAAGGCCUUCGGGUUGUAAAGCCCUUUUGUUGGGAAAGAAAUCCAGCUGGCUAAUACCCGGUUGGGAUGACGGUACCCAAAGAAUAAGCACCGGCUAACUUCGUGCCAGCCGCCGCGGUAA
This 506-nucleotide ribosomal RNA is filed under the name uncultured bacterium. Its description in RNAcentral is "partial 16S ribosomal RNA". It matches the Rfam family "Bacterial small subunit ribosomal RNA", at positions 29 to 523 of the family's 1533-position model. The record is from RNAcentral.